CAGAAACUUAAGAAGGUUCUGGAUGCAGCUCAGGCUGCAGGUCUGUAGCCCAGAGGUGGCUAUGGCCACAUCUACAGGGCCCGGAGGCAAGGAGUGGUGGAAGGUACAUUUCCCUUCCCUGCCAGCAUUCCAGUGACAACAUCAGGGACUACAAUGGGCACAGAAGGCUGAACCUGACUCCUAGGCAAGCACUGUCUUGCUGCUGAGAACCUGGUACAAAGUACAUCAUGCUUCAUGUACGCUUCACAAGCAUUUUCCUCCCGUGCUUCCUUCCAUGAGCCCUAGGAUAUGCCCUUUUAUCUGUACAGCAAGUAAAGCACCCCAAGAUGGCCUUAUAGGGUCUGGGGCCUUUUCCUUUGGAGAGGGACUCCACACCCUCAACCUGUACAUGGUGUCCCACCAGGCAGUGUAGCAGUGCUGCUGGAGCCUCCAGCCCAGUGAUGGCUGUGGUUAAGGGCAGCCAUAGGUUCCAGCUGGGCAGGGCUAUGGCAGCACACACUGCCAUCCCCACAGCUCCUUCCUGUCACCCCUGAGGAGGGGUCACAGCUGCUGUGAGUCAGCACAGCCUCAUGAGGAGGCGGUUGACACCUUCCUGCCCAUCACCAUGUGCCAGGGCCGGCACCACACACACCCUGCAGGAUCCUCCCGCAGAGGCAGACAUUUUCCGAAGGGCUUUUAUUGCUGAUGACAAUUACUUGGCGAAUCACGAGAAAAUGAGCCAGUCCUUCUGGGAAUCACUUGUAAAAAGCUUAGCUGCUACUGACCCACCUAUCCUGGCUACUGAUGAGAAGAACAAUGUAAGUUGCUAAAGAAACCUUACACACACACAAAAGGAUGCCUGUAUCAUUCUUCAGGCACUUUAGUACUUCUCUGAUAUAUUUUUGAGAGAGGGACCAACAGUCUGAUUCUCUGAAGACUUUAGCUUUUUAAACAUUCUCUGUAUCACAUUAAAUGUUAUAAAAGAACGCUUACAUAAAUGAAAUUUGGGCCCGAUUUCUACAUGAAAAGGAAAAACAAAAACAUUCCAGCAGAGCUGGCUUUGUAUUUGUUGUUCCCCUUGUAUAGUAAGAGCAGUGGAUGAUGUUCCUCAAAGGUGAAGUGAGAUUUGCUUCUAUUUCACGAUCUGUUCACACAUACUGUGUUUUAUUGGAAGGACUAUUCGCUAUUUAUUCAUCUUUCAGCUCCUCAACAGGUGCAGUGUUCUGCCUGGGGCCUGUGCAGCCUGCCUGAAAGCCAUAGAGACAAAAGGCGUCAUGGCAAUGGCAGUCCUUUACCUCUUGUUGAAGAGUUCCAACCCACCUGUGUAUCAGCAGCUGCCCAGUUCCAAGGGAAAGGGUGAGCCCUACCUGGCAUCGCUUCACCUGUUCUGUUAAAUUUACCAUGCUGCCAAUGGGAAUACUCUGAUAAAGCUUGGCAGUGAUUAUUAGUGAGCAAUUAAAAGGUAUGGAAACACUGCUUAGAAAAGUCAUGGGGGAUAGGAGCUAAAGAUAGAUGACACCUCAUAGCAGGGACCCAAUUUCCACUCUCAUACAGUGAGCUGUACCAAC
Molecule: long non-coding RNA, 1547 nt
Organism: Coturnix japonica (Japanese quail)
Lineage: Eukaryota; Metazoa; Chordata; Aves; Galliformes; Phasianidae
Source: Ensembl